GGCCACGUAAACGCCAUAAACUAAUACGAUAAAACGGCGGGGCACCUUAAACCACGAACGAGUUUAACAAAUUAGGAACUCCGUCCUGUGGAACGUCUUCCGCCCGUCUCCUCACCCUUCACGAACCGACUUUUUAAUCGGGGAUUGCAAAUAUCCCUUGUUGCCGCACACCACUUUUAAUGGCGCACCACAUGUUCCUGAUCGAGCAGCUACCAUCAGUGUCGAGAUGAGAAACAUGCGAAGAAGUCCCGUAAGCUCCAUACGUCCAUCUUGAAACAAUAAUUUUCCUAAUCGUUGGAUUGGCACACGCGGUUCCAUAAGAUGGCCACUCAGAUCUCC
Long non-coding RNA from Cylas formicarius (sweet potato weevil), 339 nucleotides. RefSeq lists it as uncharacterized. The transcript is spliced from 3 exons. The record is from RefSeq and is a predicted model, not a curated record. NCBI's taxonomy places the organism in Eukaryota, Metazoa, Arthropoda, Insecta, Coleoptera, Brentidae.